RNAcentral lists this ribosomal RNA (497 nucleotides) under uncultured bacterium. RNAcentral's name for it is "partial 16S ribosomal RNA". It matches the Rfam family "Bacterial small subunit ribosomal RNA", at positions 29 to 507 of the family's 1533-position model. The record is from RNAcentral.
UAUGAACGCUGGCGGCGUGCCUAAUACAUGCAAGUCGAGCGAACGGACGAGAAGCUUGCUUCUCUGAUGUUAGCGGCGGACGGGUGAGUAACACGUGGAUAACCUACCUAUAAGACUGGGAUAACUUCGGGAAACCGGAGCUAAUACCGGAUGAUAUUUUGAACCGCAUGGUUCAAAAGUGAAAGACGGUCUUGCUGUCACUUAUAGAUGGAUCCGCGCUGCAUUAGCUAGUUGGUAAGGUAACGGCUUACCAAGGCAACGAUGCAUAGCCGACCUGAGAGGGUGAUCGGCCACACUGGAACUGAGACACGGUCCAGACUCCUACGGGAGGCAGUAGUAGGGAAUCUUCCGCAAUGGGCGAAAGCCUGACGGAGCAACGCCGCGUGAGUGAUGAAGGUCUUCGGAUCGUAAAACUCUGUUAUUAGGGAAGAACAUAUGUGUAAGUAACUGUGCACAUCUUGACGGUACCUAAUCAGAAAGCCACGGCUAACUACGUG